Molecule: ribosomal RNA, 425 nt
Filed under: uncultured bacterium
Lineage: Bacteria
Description: partial 16S ribosomal RNA
Rfam family: Bacterial small subunit ribosomal RNA
Source: RNAcentral
GUGGGAAAUCUUGCGCAAUGGGCGAAAGCCUGACGCAGCCAUGCCGCGUGGAUGAUGAAGGUCUUAGGAUUGUAAAAUCCUUUCACCGGUGAAGAUAAUGACUGUAGCCGGAGAAGAAGCCCCGGCUAACUUCGUGCCAGCAGCCGCGGUAAUACGAAGGGGGCUAGCGUUGCUCGGAUUUACUGGGCGUAAAGGGCGCGUAGGCGGACAUUUAAGUCAGGGGUGAAAUCCCGGGGCUCAACCUCGGAACUGCCUUUGAUACUGGGUGUCGUGAGGAUGAGAGAGGUGUGUGGAACUCCGAGUGUAGAGGUGAAAUGCGUAGAUAUUCGGAAGAACACCAGGGGCGAAGGCGACACACUGGCUCAUUACUGACGCUGAGGCGCGAAAGCGUGGGGAGCAAACAGGAUUAGAAACCCUGGUAGUCC